UGAGGAAUCUUGCGCAAUGGGGGCAACCCUGACGCAGCAACGCCGCGUGAGUGAGGAAGGCCUUCGGGUCGUAAAGCUCUGUCGGGUGGAAAGAAACGUAUAGAUGUUAACAGCAUUUAUACUUGACGGUACCGCCAAAGGAAGCACCGGCUAACUCCGUGCCAGCAGCCGCGGUAAUACGGGGGGUGCAAGCGUUGUUCGGAAUUACUGGGCGUAAAGGACGCGUAGGCGGUUGUGAUAGUCAGUUGUGAAAUACUUCAGCUCAACUGGAGAACUGCAUCUGAAACUUCACUACUAGAGUACAGGAGAGGGAAACGGAAUUCCCGGUGUAGAGGUGAAAUUCGUAGAUAUCGGGAGGAACACCAGUGGCGAAGGCGGUUUCCUGGCCUGAUACUGACGCUGAGGCGUGAAAGCGUGGGGAGCAAACAGG
This 430-nucleotide ribosomal RNA is filed under the name uncultured bacterium. RNAcentral describes it as "bacterial SSU rRNA". It matches the Rfam family "Bacterial small subunit ribosomal RNA", at positions 355 to 776 of the family's 1533-position model. The record is from RNAcentral.